Molecule: long non-coding RNA, 11092 nt
Filed under: Marmota monax (woodchuck)
Lineage: Eukaryota; Metazoa; Chordata; Mammalia; Rodentia; Sciuridae
Source: RNAcentral
CGGAGCAGUUUCCUUCCAGAAUCUUUCCCUCCGUCAGAUCCCGGGCCCUGGCCAGCUGGGGCAGGGUGUGGGCACGGCUCGGGAGGCCCCUGGGCAGGCAAACUUCUUCUGGGCCCGGUACCUGUCCUGUAACCUAACUUCACAUACCCCACCCCCACCCCCGUUCCUCUGCCCUGAGGUUGGGAUCCCCUCCCCUCCCUGGUCCCUGACAGGACCUUCCCCCUUUGCUGAGGGGAAGACACUUCCUUUCCUAGAGGUGGCCUCCACCUGGAUGAAACCUUUCGCACCAGGGACGGCAUUUGGGGCCUUGCUGUCUGCAACGCCCUGUGCGUCUUUUCCCAGGAAGCUCCGGAGGGUGUACUCCCUACAGGAGGGAGCAGAGAGAGGCGCCGGGGAUGGGGGACUGGGGCCCCAACAGGAAGGAGGGACGUGGUGCCCCGGGCUGCCCACCUGGGGGCAGUCACUCUGAGGGAGGGGCGGGAUCCGGGAACUCCACCAGGCAAGAAAGAGGAGAGCGGUGGAUUUGCGUGUCUGUGCAGACGGAGAAGUGACCUGCCUUCCUGUUGGCAUGUGUGUGUGUGGGGGGGACCACUCAGACAGAAAAACAAGCUCCCCAAGGACUUGGGGGACAAAAUUCCUCCCUCCUACUAGAGCCUCACCCCUGGUUCUCUUCACCACUCCCACCUCCAUCAUGGCCCCAGGAUGCAGCUCCUGGUCAUCACAGUGUGUGGUACCCAGUCUGAAAACCAGAGUCCACUGCCCUCUGCCUACUAAUGGGGACACCGAGGGUCAGUGAUGCACCCAGGGCCACGCAGGGAGGAGGUUUAUCUGCGACAUUUUUGAGAGUUCCUUCUGAUUAAUUUAAAACAAGAUCAGUGGGAGGCUGAGGCAGGAGGGUCACCAUUUUGAGGCCAACCUCAGCGACUUAGCAGGACCCUAUCUCAACAGGCCGGGAGGUGUAGCUCCGAGGUCGAGUGCUCACCUGGCGUGUGCAAGGCCCAGGGUUCAAGCCUUGGCACUGAGGUUUCUGAGUUACUCUGUCACCUAUUACGGAGAUGUAAUUGAGUUUUCCCAGACGACGGCCAGCAAGCUCCUUGGGGAGCUUUUAUUUAUCUAUUUUUAAAUAACCAAGGUCAAGUCGGACGUGGUGGACCACAUCUGUAAUCCCAGUGACUCAGGAGGCUGAGGCAGGAGCAUCCCAAGUUCAAAGCCAGCCUCAGCCUGGCUGAGGCCCUAAGCAACUCAGUGAGACCCUGUCUCAAAAUAAAAACACAAUACAAUAAAAUUAAAAAGUAAAAAUAAAAACAGGCUGGGGAUGUAACUCAGUGGUAAAGCACCCCUGAGUUUAAUCCCCAGACCCCCCCCCCCCCCCCUCACAAAAAAAAACCAAGGCCAAUGUCCUCUUGCAAGUUCAAAAACCCUAAGUUUUUCCUGUAACAGACUUUCCAGUGGUCUCGCUUUUGAUUUUUCUGCCUUCCCACUGCCUUCUCCAAGGGCCAGGCCAACCUCCAAGUGUUUGUUAUUCAGGGUUAAGGAUAAAAAUGCCCCCUGGAGUAUCUGCAUCGUAAUCAGGAAUUCUAGGAAACCCACAGUCCACAACCUUGAGGUGACAGUCCUUCUUGGAGCCCGAGUGUCCUGGUCUCCGGACCUCAUCACCUUCCUGAUGAACAGGGCGGCCUUGGAAGCUCAAUGGAGAGACCUGAUGGGGGCGAGAACCCUGGCCUGGAAGUGAGGAGCCCUGGACUUGAGUCUCAUGCCUGUGCCUUGAUUGCUGUGUGACCUUGUGCAACUUACUCAUUCUCUCUGGUCUGCAGCUUGCUCUCUGCAAAACCGACAGCUGGGACCCAGUGACCUCCCUCUUAGACUCCUUUCAUCCUGUGACCUGGAGCCUCCGGUGUGACUCAGGAUGGCCCGGCCCUCCGUGCCACGUGCUCGGCCCCGAGGCCCUCCAUCCCUCCAUCCUUCCAUCCCUCCAUCCCGGCAGGCGCUCCCCUCCCUCGUCCUGCCCACGGCGGGGCCUGGCAGGCGCGGGGCUGCUGUGGCAGGAGCCGGGGUGAGGAACAAUCCCAGCCCUUCAGGCUGCGUGGCAGGAGCUGGCAGCCGGCCAGGCACAAUAGCCCCGAGGUACAGAGGGGCGUUUGUCUGGGGACCCACAGCUUCAUGGAACCCUGCCCUCAGCCUCCCCUUCCCCCCACCCUCUCAGACGGCAGUGCCGCCCCAGCCUGGUCGUGAGAUGGGACAGGGCCGCUGCUCAGCCCUGAGCAGCCUGCAGUGGCCUGGGAGCUGGGAGGCCGGAAAAGACAAGGGGGUGGCAGGAAGGCAGGGAGCCCCGAGUGGGGCCAGGGGGACCCCAGACAGGGGGGAGGGGCAGACGCUGCAGGGACAGGGCAGGGGCUGUAGAGAGAGGGACAGGGACGGGCCCUGAGCCCUCACUGACUAGUGAAGAGACUGUGGGCCGGGGCUUCCUCCUCGCUGGGCCUCAGUUUCCUCAGCUGUAAAAUGGGGUGACUGUCCUGCCCUGAUGUUCUGAGGACUCCACUAAAUAAAAUCGGGGCUCGUGACGGCCGUGGGGCGUCAGGGAGAGCAAGGGUGGACCCAGGAGUCGGGUCCAAGGGCACCUCGACACCCCUGAACUCACUCUUGGGGACAGACCAUUCACACUCCUCGUUGUCCUCUGGACUGAGUAAGAAAGGCUGGAGGCGCCCUGCCUGGUGCCUGGCGAAGGCCGGAGGACUCGGCCACGGCCACACCCUGAUCCUCGUGGACCCUCUAUUACCAUACAUUUUUGUGGUCUCUAUUUUUUUCCAAUAUGAGGGAAAAAGAACUGAAACAUUUUCUUCCACCUUCAAAGGACCCCUCUCCCCAAUUUUAAGAGCCGCCAAACCCUCCUUGGGGUCCUCCAGAGUAAGCCUCGUCUGCUGUGCCCAGGGGCUCUGGCCUUGCUUCGGAGUUCUCUGGGUCCUCACCGGCCCUGGGCAGUGUCGCCAAGUUCCGCUGGACGCCAGGAACCUCGUCUCUGAGGAAUCCACCUUGGGCUCAGGGUCCCGCGACGCCGGUGCCCCCCACUGCACAGAGCUGAGCUCAGGGGCCCUGUUAGUGCCACCCCUCCUAGUUUCAAUGUGGCUGAGCCCUGUCCCCAGAGGCAGGUGGGACCCCAGAGAACCUCGGGUCUGGGAGAGUCCAGGUGAGCCCCAUGGCGAGGGGCGGGUGUGUGGCUGGGCCGGACUCUUCAGGAACCAGGGUGGUGGGUGGUGAGCCUCUGGCGCCCUGCUGUGCUUGUCCCUUUGUCACGGCCUCUGUGCCAGCAGAGGUGCUUGGGCCUUCACGCUCGUGGUCCCAGUGAAUCCUCAUGGCACACCAUUCUGCUUCACACCCAAGGAGACAGGCCCAGAGAGGCUGGGUAACCCGUCCAGAGUCACAGAGCCACCAGGGCAGGAUGGGACCCGUCUCCUGUUCCCCACAGCCCUCCCUCCCCCCUCCUUAAAGUGUUGGGGGAGGGUGGGGGGACUUUCAGGGCCAGUAGACACCGAGGAAAGUGAGGGGCGGGUGCAGGAAGGAGGUUCUGGAGGACGUGCAGGUGCGCAAGGCGCCGUGCUCCCGGGGCCACCCUUGUCCUCCCAGGUGAGGGUCUGAGCAGCGGCAGGGCCGCUGCUGGUAUGUGGGCCUCCCUGUCUGGGGGACGUGCCAGGUGGGGCUGUCGCUGAACAGGCGAGAGGUCCUCUCCCCCUUGCCAAGCUGCUCAGAGCCAGUUCUGUUUACCCAGAAACCAGAGCGGGCGCAGGGCUCAGCCCAAACCGGCCCCCUUCAGGGCCCACAGAGGAAGGAGUGGCGGAGGCCAGGCCGGGCCUCAGGCUCAGAGGGAGGAGGGGGAGUGCUAGUUCCAGCCCAUCUCUGUCCCCAGAUCACUCACUGGCUGGGUGGGUGCUGCACCCUCCGUGUGACCCAUCCGCCCAGGGGAGGACGGAGAAGGACCCACUGCAAACCUACCAGCUGCGCCGAGCCCACCCUGAGAGCCCUUAGGUGAGAAGAGUGGCCAGGGUUAAUCGAAACACCCAAACUCAGCCUGUUCCUUUUUGCUUUGGGAACGUGGUCCAGAGAGCUUUUAAGUGGCACCUGUGGCCCAUAUUAUGCAGAAGGGCACUGAUGGACACUCUGCCCUUCCUCGGCUGCCUCCCCACCAACACGCACACAUUCAUUUGUUCAGUGCGCUCAGGGAAUAUUCAUGAGCUGGAGAGCGUUAAACACGGGAGACAGAAGGAAAGGAUCCCUGUGGCCUUUGAGCCACAGGAGCUUCUGAACUCUGCCUCAAAGAUCCCUCGCGGCUUGUGUCGCGCACACCCACAUCCUGAAACGCUGCCCUGCUUACUUUCACACUUACUUCUGGAAGGGCUUCCUAACCUUGUCUGCCUGGCAAACUUCUAUUUAUGCUUCAAAGCCCCAAAACCUUCACCCACUUCAAACACUUACGUCAUCUAGGCCUUCACUAAUUUUUUUUUUUAAAAGCCACCUCUUGAGGACUCCACCAUCACCUCCACUCUCUCCGAGGACUCUUCCCUACUAAUUUUGGGAUGUCUGCAGUUUGACGAAGUCAUCAAGGUCAUUGUCACCUCCCAUCUUCCUUCCCCUCCUCCCAGGAACUCUGCCUCACUUACCCUCUUUAACUUUCUCUGCAGAAGAGCCACCGUCUGAAACCACCUAGGUUGUGACCUGUCUGUCCUCUACAGAAGUGAGAUUCCCUGCAAGGGCUCUGGUCUUCCUCCUCCCAGGGCAAGGUCCAGUGCCUGUCGCGGUUCUUGGGGCCCUGAAGGCACCUGGGAUGUGCAGAUGGUGGACGCUGGCAGCCGAGGGCAGGAUGUGAACCACAGGCCCUGGAGCUGGAUUGCGGGGUUCUAAUCCCGGCCUUUUCUCAGACCCCAUUGACGGUCAUGGUCAUCAUCAAAUCAUGCAGUUAGCUACGGUGAUCAUCACAGACCUGUCCCCAGCUGCUCCAGCAGUGGCCUGAGCGCCCAGGCUGUGUCUGGGUCCUGCCAUGCCCAGCACGUCUCAGAAUCUGUCUUCCCAUUGCAGAAAUGACACUGACACCCACCUGCAGCUUCUGAAGCCAGAAACCUAAGGUCACUACUGUCACCGGCGCAUCACCCCAUCACCAAGCUCUUUCAGAUGGAUCUUUGUUUCCUACAGAUGCCCUUGUCUCCCCGUCUUCCCCACCUGUCCAGUCCAGGCCUCUCAAGAUCUGCACCUGGUAGCUCCCUGCAGGAGCUCAGUCUAUCAGUCACUCCUGCCCCAGCCCCAGGGCCUUUGCAUGUGCCAGGCCACUCUUUCCUCCCCCACUGAUUUCUCUGAUGCUUUAGUCACAUCAAAUCUCCACACCGUGCCCUGUCACAGGGCUGUUUCCCCUGCUGGCCACUGGUGGUAGUCAGCAUCUUCCACCAGUGACAGAGCCCCACCCAGGACUCUGAAGCAGGAGUGUCAAGGGUGCUAUUAAGCCCUCCAGCCCCAGUGCCUUGAGCACCACGUGGCACAUCAUGGGGGGUUGCUCUGUGUCCCACGAACGAAAUGAAUUCCCAGCUACGCGAGUGAGCGGAGGGUGCUCAAAAAUGGACCUGCAGCCCGGGCAAGGGUGGAGCCUGGGCCAGGUGUGUGCUUUCCCCUCCACACAUGGCUGCCGUGGUGACACCCGUGUGACACUGAGCACAAGUCAGCCCGGGGGCUGUGGACCUGGGGGGCGGCUGCCUGGGGAGCUGGAAUCUGAGGGCACCGUGGUCACUGUGCUCCUGGGCUACGGGGUCACAGCGACCUGGGUCUGAGUCCCAGGGAGAAAGUAGAAGCCGCACCUGCCCAGUUCCCAGGGCCCAGCCCUGCCGAGGACUGGACUGUCCCCCCAGCAGAUGCCUAUUAGCGUCUAAAACUUAUAUGUGAGGACGCAGAGGCACCAGGGGCUAAGCUCCUAUCCAAGAUGACCAGCUGGGAGAGGACGUUCCUUUUCUCCAAGACCCACCUGAAGUCCCUGCCUAUGUCAAGUGGCCAGCCUCCCCGAGGCCCCGCCCAUCCUCCCCCAGCAGGUGCCUGGUCAGCAUCGGCCCACACUCUGCUGUCCGUGGCCGCCAGACCCAUCUCCUUCCUUCCUCCCUUCUUUCCUUUCCGACUGGCAUUGAACCCAGGGGCGCUUGACCACAGAGCCACAUCCUGGCCCUUUUCAUAUUUCUAUUUAGAGAUAGGGUCUGAGUUUCUCAGGGCCUUGCUGAGUUGCUGAGGCUGGCUUUGAACUCACGAUCUUCCUGCCUCAGGAUCUGACUUCAGAGUCUGGCCCACAUUUUGGGGACUCGAUAAUCCCAGCAGCUAGGGAGGCUGAGGCAGGAGGAUCGUGAGUUCACAGCCAGCCUCAGCAAAAGUGAGGCCCUAAGCAACUCAGUGAGACCCUGUCUCUAAAUAAAAUACAAAACAGGGCUGGGGAGGUGGCUCCGUGGUCGAGUGUCCCUGAGUUCAAUCCCUGGCACCAAAUAAAUAAAUAAAAUAGACAUAACAAGCACUUACUAUGUGCCAAGCACCUCUCUAAAAACUUCACAAAUGAUUUUUAUUUGAAUAGUUUGUAACCCACCUCAUUCCAAAAGAACUCUGUGAGGUGAGUAUCAGGGUCUUCAUCUUAGGGGUGAAGAAACCGAGUUUUAGAGAAGCCAAGUAACUUGUCUGGGGUCACACAGCCAGUGAAGGUGGCAGACUUGGGUGGAAAUGAGGCUGAAUACUCCAGAAUUCAAGCUGUCACCUGUCUGCCUCACUGCCUCGGCUCAGUGAGUGAGAAUCACUAUUAUUUACCGAGAUUUUGUAGGGGGGGAAGGGAGGAGUGCCGUCCUAGCCGGGAGGACAGUGGGGAGAACACAGUCAGGAGGGGAGUGUAGGAUUGGGGGGGAGGGACAGUGAGGUCUCAGCACCGUGGAGCUGAGGGCCCAGGGAAGGCCAGAGUGUAGAUGAGACCUGAGGGAUAGAGUGGGAAUUCAACCUCCAUGGAAGGAACCAGCAUGAGCUUCUGUCAAGAAUCCCUACGGGAUGGAUUCCAUGGGAGGUAGGAGUGUGAAAAGUAGGAGUGUCAGAACCUGACAGCUCUGCUGGGUGGCCUUUGGAAAGUUACUUAACCUCUCUGUGCCUCCAUUUCCUGUUCCAUAAAAUGGAGGUAGUAACAGGCCCCCCCCCCCUUCACUGGAUCGUUGUCUGGGAGAAAUAAAAUAAUAAAUGUCAAGCCCCUGAUGGUGUCUGGCAGAAAGCCACCAUUUAACAUAGUUCAUUUCCCUCCCUUCCCCAAGACCUCUCCAGCUGUGCCAGAAUCAAGAGUAAACUACGGUUUCAAAGCGUGUCUGAGACUGAGAAGAAAGAAGAGUUGAUUUCCGUGUCGCCUCUGCGUUAUAAACUGAACUUCCCAGCUCGGUGCCCGGAGAGGGGGGUGCUCAGGAGGCAGGCUGGCAGCAACAAAAAUAAAGAGUUCUGCCCUCGCUGUCCCGGGCCGCGGCCGGGCAGAAGCUGGUGAGGCCUGAACUUGGCGCUGCAGGGCAGGGGACCUGGGAUCCAGGCCCAACCCUUCCUGGGACAUGGACAUGUCACAAGCCAGCACCUGGUUAGGCACUGGGUGCCCUGGGAGGCUAGCUUCCAGCAUGGCGGGGAGCCGGGGUGGGGGGGCCUGCAAUCCCCACCCCCUGCCUCCCACGCCUGUGCCCCCCAGUCCUGCCUCCUGCCUCCUCCAGACCUUGGAUUUUUAAAAAAAUUCUCUUGAUGGGAUUUGUCCCCUCUUGUGAGAUGCCCUCCUUCCCUCAGCCCCUCGACCCAGGAGUAGACAGAGGGCGGGCUUUGGAAUUAGACCGGGUUUGAAUUCUGACAGUCUGGUCACCUUGGGCUCAUGACCCCUCUAGGCCCAUUUCCUCCACUGUAAACUGGGCUUUGUGACUCCUGUCUCCUUCCUUUAUGUGACCACCAAUGGUGCCAAAUAUUUAGCCUUACUGUAUACACCAGGCACUGGGAGAGGAUUUGCGGGCCUAAGUCCCAUUCCUUUUCCUCCAAGACCCACCUGAAGUCCCUGCCUAUGUCAAGUGGCCAGUCUCCCCGAGACCCCGCCCAUCCUCCCACAGCAGGUGCCUGGUCAGCACCCGCCUAGGCUGUGGUGUCCGUGGCCGCCAGGUCAUCUCCUUCCUCCCUCCCUCCCUUCCUUUCAUACUGGCAUUGAACCCAGGGGGGCUUAACCACGGAGCCGGGGCCUUUUAAUAUUUUAAUUUAGAGACAGGGUCUGCCUGAGUUGCUUAGCGCCUUUUUUUAGAACCACACACGCCAAACAAAACAGCCUCUCAGGAAAAACCCUCAGAGCCUCAACUGCCACCACCGGCUUUCCACAAGCCUCUCUCUCCCACACAAGCUUCUCUCCACCUCCCACAAUCCUCCUGCUCUUGAGGCCGAUUGGCUGGGUCACGUGGGCGGAGCCAAAAAAGUCCCCCAAUGAGCAGCUCCGUGGUCUGAAAGGGCAGGGACUUCCAGCUGCCAGCAAACUUCCAGCUGCCGGCUGGUGAUUGGCUCACAGCGCGCCUUGCUGUUGCUGAGGCUGGCUUUGAACUCCCGGUCCUCCUGCCUCAGCCUCCCAUCCACUGGGAUUUCAGGGCGUGGGCUGCCAAGCCCGGUGCCUGGCCUCUUUCCGUUGGAGGAGCUCCCUGGGGACAAACCUGCCUCAGUUACAGCCAGGCUGCCGGCACCCAGCAGGGGAAGGGGUGAGUGAAAGCUGCAGGGCGGGGGAGGGUGCGCCAACAGAGGGCGCGGUGGGCACUGGCACUGCCUGGUCCUCUGCUCUGACUCCCUGAGCUCAGGCCGCCAGCCCCCCUCAGCUCUCUGGAGCCUCCUCUGGGCCCCCGUAGCUCCUGGACCUGGAUCAGGCUUUUCUAACCCAAAACUAGGAUGUUCACCCUGAGGGACGGCGGCCGUGGGGACCAUGCAGUGGCCAAGUGGGGAAGCUACAGGGUGACACAGUGGAGCAGCUCUGGACUUCCUAGGUUGGCCCGGUCGUGGGCUCCCUGGCCUGGCCAUGCAUGCAGGCUGCAGGAAUCAUCUCCCAAGGGCUCAGGAGGUGACGUGCUUUCUCUGCUGCGAUGGGGCGGGGACAUGGUCCUGUGCAGGAUCAGAGGCCGAAGCAGGAGCCACUUACGGAAACGGAAUCGGAAUUGUUCAAUUUUACCUCCCAACCAAGUCUCCCCCAUGUCAUAGAUCGCUUCAAACGGGCUACAGAAUAGAGCCCAAUUCUGUCUCAGCAACCAAGGUCUCCUGAGGCUGCUGUGCCUUCUCCUUCGCUGACUUCCUCCCUCGCCCACCCAGGGCAGAACGGGGGACUUCCUGUCCCCUGGUCUCACCAGCACUUCCCCCUGCGGCCAGCUGUGGUUUCAAAAGGGCCCCACGGUGCGCCAGACCACGCCCCCAAUGAGUGGCAGCGCCAUCUCCCCCUCCCCUGACCUGGGUGGGCCCUGGCUGCUCAGAGCACCAGCACAUGUUGGAAGUGGCGUUGGCUUUCUGGAUAUUGUCCCCAAGUGGCAGCCUCUGCUUCCUGCCUCAGGGGAGGUACCUGCUCUAGGUGACAGCCCCCGCGGAGCUCCCAAGUGCCCAGCGUGGUGCAAAGUCCUGGGAGGGAGCCAUCAUCGACCCCCAAGCUGCUGAGCCUUCAGAACAUCAGGCCACAACCACAGAACCCCCUGAGCACCCCCCAGCGGAUCCCAGUCAGCUGAAGGUGGCAGAGAACAGGUACCAGUCUGCACCCACCCACCCACUCCACCAUGGCACCCACCACUCCUGUCAGGGCCUCUCACACCUCUGCCCUCUCCUAAAAAUGGUUUGCAACAGUCACGAUGGCUUUGUAUUGAGAUCCCUUGUUCCUUUUAAGACAGGCUUAAACUUAUUCCAAAACAGAGAUUUUCCUUCUUUCUCCGCCGACCCCUGCCCCUCCUCCCAUUUGGGAUUGAACUUGGCCUCGCACACCGAGCUGCAUUCCCCAGCUCCCUAAACAGAAAAUUCCUAUCACUUCUCAAAAUGGAAACCAGUGUCACUUGCCAUUAAUAGAAAGUAACAAAAGAAAUCAGAUGAAACAAUGUCAUUAAAUUCCAGCCAGACAGGGCCACCUUCCAAAGUGUCUGAGCCCAGGGCUCACCGUUUCCUCUUGGAAAGCUAAGGAACAGUGCUGCAGGGACACUGGUGACACAGUCAACCAGGCCCUGAGUUCCAGGACCCGGGGUGACACACAUCAGCUUUGGGAUCCCCGGGUCUGGAACUGAGCCAGGUGGCCUUGGAUGCAGCAGAGCUGGGCAGCCUGUGACCCCUGCUGGACUGACUUUGGCGCUCACUGGUCCCCGGAUCAAGGUUCCCCCGGAUCAAGGUUCCCCGGAUCUGGCCGGCUCUCAGGAUUUAGGAAGGCCCCCAACUUUCCAAUACUGUUUUUCAAAAACUAGGUGUGUGUGUGUGUGUGUGUGUGUAAAAUACUCUUCUUCCCAAAGUGGCGAACACCGUUCCUGCUUCUGGCACUGAACUUGGACUUGCCACCCUACCCGUCCCCAGCUCUCGCAGCACCUCCGGGGGCUGUUUCUGUCGUUAUUUCCGUAUUUCCUCUGGGAGCACUCUCAAUGUGGCCUUUGUGUGUCCACCUUCUGAGGCUUUAUUUGCCCAAGAAUAUUUUUUUAAUGACCUCAUGUUUAAGUGACAGUUUGGCUGCCUUGGAGAUGCUGGAUUGAAAGGUUCUUUUCUUUCAGUCCUUUAUGACAUUACCUCCCCGGCUUCCUUUGUGGGGUGUUGUUAGGGAGAACUCUGUCCGUCUGAGCCUUGCUGCUGGGUCCGUGAUCUGCUGUUUCUGCUCCUCCUCCUUUUCCUUCACGUUUCUAACUUUGCCAUUGUGUCUCUGGGUCUUUCUUCCUCUGUUGGCUCUUGCAUGGGUCCUUUCAAUCUACCUUCAUUCACAUCCCUGUCAUUUUGGAAUAUUUAAUCUCCAUUAUUUCUGCAGAGCGCCAGCCAGGACAAGCGGCUUCUUCACCUUUAGGUUCCCAGGGAGAAGUGGACAGUGAGGAGGAGACACUCUCGUGAGAUUCAC